AGCGAACGCUGGCGGCAGGCUUAACACAUGCAAGUCGAACGCCCCGCAAGGGGAGUGGCAGACGGGUGAGUAACACGUGGGAACGUACCCUUUGGUUCGGAAUAACUUGGGGAAACUCAAGCUAAUACCGGAUAAGCCCUUAUGGGGAAAGGUUUACUGCCGAAGGAUCGGCCCGCGUCUGAUUAGCUAGUUGGUGAGGUAAUGGCUCACCAAGGCGACGAUCAGUAGCUGGUCUGAGAGGAUGAUCAGCCACACUGGGACUGAGACACGGCCCAGACUCCUACGGGAGGCAGCAGUGGGGAAUAUUGGACAAUGGGGGCAAUCCUGAUCCAGCCAUGCCGCGUGGGUGAUGAAGGCCCUAGGGUUGUAAAGCCCUUUCGGCGGGGAAGAUAAUGACGGUACCCGCAGAAGAAGCCCCGGCUAACUUCGUGCCAGCAGCCGCCGUAA
RNAcentral lists this ribosomal RNA (447 nucleotides) under uncultured bacterium. RNAcentral describes it as "partial 16S ribosomal RNA". It matches the Rfam family "Bacterial small subunit ribosomal RNA", at positions 29 to 523 of the family's 1533-position model. The record is from RNAcentral.